Molecule: long non-coding RNA, 568 nt
Filed under: Piliocolobus tephrosceles (Ugandan red Colobus)
Lineage: Eukaryota; Metazoa; Chordata; Mammalia; Primates; Cercopithecidae
Description: lncRNA (ENSPTEG00000007118.1)
Source: RNAcentral
UUUUAAUGAAGCCAGAAUCAAUGUGCUCAAUUCCAGUGAGAACUACAAACAGUGUGUCAUUCAGAAUUCCUGGGUUAUGACCGAGAUGUUCUCUCCUAUAGGUGGGCCUCAGGAGAGAUGUGGAGUCCUCAUCACGGGGUUGCCUGGUGAUUAUGGAAUAAGCGGGGGACUUACAGAGACUCAGCAUUCAGGGGAACCAGGCCACCACAUCCCAGACGUGGCCUCCGGGAGGGCAGUUUCCAGAGAUGAAUUUCCUUCUCCUCCACCACUGCCCAUGGGCUCUGAGGGUGACGGAGAUCCAGUAGGUCACCUCGUCCCUCGUUCCCGGAACACUUGCCAUGUUAUCAGCAUGGCUCCGAAUCCUAUAUCCACCCUCCAGCCACACCCUUGUGACACUUGGAAUCAAAGCCGCCCAGCAUCAGAGCAUGGACGAUCAAGGUGGACUUACCCGCUCAGAAAGAAUGUGGGGCUUCCGUCGAGGGAGACCGCAAUGACCUUCCUUUGAAAAGAAAAAUGUCCUUGCAAGUAGGUAAAUAAAAAAAAAAAAAAAAAAAAGAAAAAGAAAAAG